UUUAAACUAUUGAGGAGAUAUUGUCGUUUAUAUACACUAUGUUAACCUAUUGUGGAGGUAUUGUCGUUUAUAUACACUAUGUUAAACUAUUGUUGAGAUAUUGUCGUUUAUAUACACUAUGUUAAACUAUUGUGGAGAUAUUGUCAUUUAUAUACACUAUGUUAAACUAUUGUGGAGGUAUUGUCGUUUAUACACACUAUGUUAAACUAUUG
Pelobates cultripes (western spadefoot toad) is the source of this 212-nucleotide non-coding RNA. Lineage: Eukaryota; Metazoa; Chordata; Amphibia; Anura; Pelobatidae. The record is from the annotation of a GenBank genome assembly.